GAUGAACGCUAGCGGCAGGCUUAACACAUGCAAGUCGAGGGGUAACAGGAAAGUGCUUGCACUUUUGCUGACGACCGGCGCACGGGUGCGUAACGCGUAUACAAUCUACCUUUUACAGGGGGAUAGCCUUUAGAAAUGAAGAUUAAUACCCCAUAGUAUCCAGACAUCGCAUGAUGAUCUGGAUUAAAGUUUCGGUGGUAAAAGAUGAGUAUGCGUCCUAUUAGCUAGUUGGUAUGGUAACGGCAUACCAAGGCAACGAUAGGUAGGGGCCCUGAGAGGGGGAUCCCCCACACUGGUACUGAGACACGGACCAGACUCCUACGGGAGGCAGCAGUGAGGAAUAUUGGACAAUGGAGGGAACUCUGAUCCAGCCAUGCCGCGUGCAGGAAGACUGCCCUAUGGGUUGUAAACUGCUUUUAUAUGGGAAGAAACCCACUUACGUGUAAGUGGCUGACGGUACCAUAAGAAUAAGCAUCGGCUAACUCCG
Molecule: ribosomal RNA, 487 nt
Filed under: uncultured Flavobacteriaceae bacterium
Lineage: Bacteria; Pseudomonadati; Bacteroidota; Flavobacteriia; Flavobacteriales; Flavobacteriaceae
Description: bacterial SSU rRNA
Rfam family: Bacterial small subunit ribosomal RNA
Source: RNAcentral